This 301-nucleotide ribosomal RNA is filed under the name uncultured bacterium. RNAcentral's name for it is "partial 16S ribosomal RNA". It matches the Rfam family "Bacterial small subunit ribosomal RNA", at positions 509 to 809 of the family's 1533-position model. The record is from RNAcentral.
CAGUCGCCGCGGUAAUACGAAGGGUGCAAGCGUUAAUCGGAAUUACUGGGCGUAAAGCGUGCGCAGGCGGUUUGUUAAGUCUGCUGUGAAAUCCCCGGGCUCAACCUGGGAAUGGCAGUGGAUACUGGCAAGCUAGAGUGUGUCAGAGGAUGGUGGAAUUCCCGGUGUAGCGGUGAAAUGCGUAGAGAUCGGGAGGAACAUCAGUGGCGAAGGCGGCCAUCUGGGACAACACUGACGCUGAGGCACGAAAGCGUGGGGAGCAAACAGGAUUAGAUACCCCCGUAGUCCCUGUCUCUUAUAA